This 448-nucleotide ribosomal RNA is filed under the name uncultured bacterium. RNAcentral describes it as "partial 16S ribosomal RNA". It matches the Rfam family "Bacterial small subunit ribosomal RNA", at positions 330 to 792 of the family's 1533-position model. The record is from RNAcentral.
GCCAGACUCCUACGGGAGGCAGCAGUGGGGAAUAUUGGGCAAUGGGCGCAAGCCUGACCCAGCAACGCCGCGUGAAGGAAGAAGGCCCUCGGGUUGUAAACUUCUUUUGUCAGGGACGAAGAAAGUGACGGUACCUGACGAAUAAGCCACGGCUAACUACGUGCCAGCAGCCGCGGUAAUACGUAGGUGGCAAGCGUUAUCCGGAUUUACUGGGUGUAAAGGGCGUGUAGGCGGGACUGCAAGUCAGAUGUGAAAUUCCAGGGCUCAACCCUGGACCUGCAUUUGAAACUGUAGUUCUUGGGUGAUGGAGAGGCAGGCGGAAUUCCGUGUGUAGCGGUGAAAUGCGUGGAUAUACGGAGGAACACCAGUGGCGAAGGCGGCCUGCUGGACGACAACUGACGGUGAGGCGCGAAAGCGUGGGGAGCAAACAGGAUUAGAUACCCCUGUA